UAGGCGUUUUUCGGGAUUCCUGUGGCCGGGGCGCAACAGGAAUCCCGAAACCUCGACUAAAUUACCAGCUUCCGGUUCCGGUAGGGGAAGCCAUCUUGCUUGAUUUGGAAGAUCGUUCGAAGCCACAAGAAUGGAGAACAGCGAAGAACAUAGCAAGGAUUACAAGUUUCUCAUUGAACAUCAGUGGAAUGGAGACGCCAUCACCCAUUCUUCUCCAGCUGAAGUGCGCAUGGCUUUCAGUGAGGGAUCUGUGAGGGUGGGUGUGAGUGGACCCCUCCUGGAAGACUCUAGAAUUCCUCGCUCUCCCCCAGGGCAACCGUGUGACGAGCUCUGGGAGUAUGACGUCGUAGAAAUAUUUUUCCUGGGUGAGAAGGAUAAGUACUUGGAAGUCGAGUUUUGUCCCCACGGGCAACACUUGGUACUGCUUCUUGACGGCACCAGGAACAUGUUUAAGGACAAGCUUCCGCUCCAGUUCACUGCUGUCAAGGAUAGCCGCGCAAGCCGAUGGACCGGGUCGGCCACCAUUCCACUUGAGUACUUCCCACCCGGAGUAUGUAAGAUGAACGCGUAUGCGAUACAUGGGUCAGCGGAGUCUCGCCAGUAUGAAGCUCUGUAUCCUGCUUCCAAGGAUUUCCCUGCGCCGGAUUUCCAUCGGUUGCAGUUUUUUCAAGACUUCAAUUUUAAGUCCCUCUUUCCCCGUGGGUUUGUCAUCCCUGAGUCGCCACUGUGGAAGGCCAGGGCGUAAGGAACGUCUUACGUCUGAGGUGAUGUGAGGUUUCUAGCACAAAGCGUGGAGAACUGACGAAGUAUCAGGGCCCUGCCCCGUCUGCUAACACUCAUAUAUAGACUCUCUCCUUCUUAAACUCCACAAGAAGCCCAGCUUUCAAAGGUGAACGUUCACGCGGGCGUACCCCAAGAUCUCACCUUCAAUAAUGGAGCGCUGUUUACAGAUUUUGGUUCUAAGCCUCGUGUUAUUACUUUGUACUUUUUCUGUUACAAAUGCCAUCUCGAGCGGGCCAAACAGUGGUAUUGCGUAUCCCUGGUUCAAGCGAAAUCCCGCUCAAUCAAGACAUGAGUCAGCUAAGAGUAAAGGCCUCAAUCUAAGGCUACGCAGCAUCUGCGAGCGCUCACCUAGAACUGUUAUAUGUAACAGAAAGAGAUUUGCAGAGCCGCCAGGGGCCUGGAGACGACGGAUGGACGCAUGGGCAGAAUUGGACUAGACCGCUGACUAUCUUAAUUGCCAAAGUGUGUGCGGUGUGCUUAGUGUGGCUGCUGGUGGUUUUAUAACUCAGUCGGCAAGAACUUGAACAAGUUGCUUGGUCUAAAUACCUGUAAUAAAUAUAGUUUUCGUAUUCCCUUCAAUGAUCUACCAUCUUGUAAAACCUGGAAAAAAACCUGACUUGUUAAACUAAUAAACGUUAGAGCCGUUAUUACCGGCUGUUUUAAAUAUA
RNA transcript from Nematostella vectensis (starlet sea anemone), 1451 nucleotides. It is a transcript of the gene named UPF0462 protein C4orf33 homolog, with no coding region annotated. The transcript is spliced from 8 exons. The record is from RefSeq and is a predicted model, not a curated record. Lineage: Eukaryota; Metazoa; Cnidaria; Anthozoa; Actiniaria; Edwardsiidae.